Molecule: long non-coding RNA, 801 nt
Filed under: Pan troglodytes (chimpanzee)
Lineage: Eukaryota; Metazoa; Chordata; Mammalia; Primates; Hominidae
Description: long non-coding RNA NONPTRT007756
Source: RNAcentral
AACCUGGCAUAUUUGGGGGUUUAUUUGGAUAGUAUCUAGGUUCCCCCAAACAUCAGUAAGAAUAUAGGUAAUCUGAAGAAUACUAUCAACUAACCUAGUUUAAUUGGCAUUUGUAGAGCUCUCCAUCUCAAAGUAGAAUACACAAAAGUUUCAUUUACCAGUAGGAUAAGUUUUAAUUAGUGUCUCCCAUUUCAAUAUGAAUUUGAAUGGUUUACUUGGCCCAUUUUUAUUAUUGGUUUCAUAUAUAGUCUUUUGCUUAUUGAUUUUUAUGAGAUCAAUUUAUAUCUUUGGUUACACAAAACUGUAAAUUUUCUAAAAAUAUUUGAGUUAGAAAUUUAAAAUUAAUUAAUAUUAUGAUGUGCAAAUUAUGUCUCACACAUGUUUAAAGAAAAGACCUAAAGUAAAUAUCACAAAAUAUUUGCAUUUGUUAACUAUGUUUAAUAGAUCUUAUCCAGUCAUUAGGCCCCACCUCCAACAAAGAAAAUCAUAUUCCAACAUGCAACUUGGAGAAGACAAAGAUCCAAACCAUAUCAGGAACCAUGGAAAGAUGCUAAAGAUUGGAUUUUAAGUGUGUGGAUGUGGAGGUGUGGAUGUGGACAUGUGCUGAUGUGUCCGUGGUGAUGGUAAGUUUAAAUAAUUUAUUACACAAAAUCUAUAACAAUUAAUAAUUGCCUGCUCUGUUUUCUUAUACACUCAAUCUUAAUUUAGAAUGUUGGAGAAUCAGAGAAAAUAAGAAAUAUACAUAUAUAUGUAAUAAAUAUUUAAUAUAUCAGUUUGUUAUUUUAUUUUGAAUUACUCUCU